GACGAACGCUGGCGGCGUGCUUAACGCAUGCAAGUCGAACGGAAAGGCCCUGCUUUUGUGGGGUGCUCGAGUGGCGAACGGGUGAGUAACACGUGAGUAACCUGCCCUUGACUUUGGGAUAACUUCAGGAAACUGGGGCUAAUACCGGAUAGGAGCUCCUGCUGCAUGGUGGGGGUUGGAAAGUUUCGGCGGUUGGGGAUGGACUCGCGGCUUAUCAGUUUGUUGGUGGGGUAGUGGCUUACCAAGGCUUUGACGGGUAGCCGGCCUGAGAGGGUGACCGGCCACAUUGGGACUGAGAUACGGCCCAGACUCCUACGGGAGGCAGCAGUGGGGAAUAUUGCACAAUGGGCGGAAGCCUGAUGCAGCAACGCCGCGUGCGGGAUGACGGCCUUCGGGUUGUAAACCGCUUUCGCCUGUGACGAAGCGUGAGUGACGGUAAUGGGUAAAGAAGCACCGGCUAACUACGUG
RNAcentral lists this ribosomal RNA (468 nucleotides) under uncultured bacterium. Its description in RNAcentral is "partial 16S ribosomal RNA". It matches the Rfam family "Bacterial small subunit ribosomal RNA", at positions 28 to 507 of the family's 1533-position model. The record is from RNAcentral.